GGAUCAGACUGUAAAUCUGACGCGUAAGCUUCGGUGGUUCGAAUCCACCUCCCACCACCA
This 60-nucleotide transfer RNA is filed under the name Oceanospirillaceae bacterium. RNAcentral describes it as "tRNA-OTHER". It matches the Rfam family "tRNA", at positions 23 to 71 of the family's 71-position model. From Rfam's summary of the family: Transfer RNA (tRNA) molecules are approximately 80 nucleotides in length. Their secondary structure includes four short double-helical elements and three loops (D, anti-codon, and T loops). Lineage: Bacteria; Pseudomonadati; Pseudomonadota; Gammaproteobacteria; Oceanospirillales; Oceanospirillaceae. The record is from RNAcentral.